AUUGAACGCUGGCGGAAUGCUUUACACAUGCAAGUCGAACGGCAGCACGGGGGCAGCCCUGGUGGCGAGUGGCGAACGGGUGAGUAAUACAUCGGAACGUGCCCGGUCGUGGGGGAUAACGUAUCGAAAGUUACGCUAAUACCGCAUACGAUCUGAGGAUGAAAGCGGGGGACCUUCGGGCCUCGCGCGAUCGGAGCGGCCGAUGUCAGAUUAGGUAGUUGGUGGGGUAAAGGCCUACCAAGCCGACGAUCUGUAGCUGGUCUGAGAGGACGACCAGCCACACUGGGACUGAGACACGGCCCAGACUCCUACGGGAGGCAGCAGUGGGGAAUUUUGGACAAUGGGCGCAAGCCUGAUCCAGCCAUUCCGCGUGCAGGACGAAGGCCUUCGGGUUGUAAACUGCUUUUGUACGGAACGAAAAGGCUCUGGCUAAUACCUGGGGCUCAUGACGGUACCGUAAGAAUAAGCACCGGCUAACUACGUG
This 484-nucleotide ribosomal RNA is filed under the name uncultured bacterium. RNAcentral describes it as "partial 16S ribosomal RNA". It matches the Rfam family "Bacterial small subunit ribosomal RNA", at positions 30 to 507 of the family's 1533-position model. The record is from RNAcentral.